GGUGGUUCUCAGGUGAUACAUCCUCGAAUCGGGCUCCCGCCUCUCUGGUUUUGGGGUGCAUCACCUGAGAACAGCU
Myotis lucifugus (little brown bat) is the source of this 76-nucleotide non-coding RNA. NCBI's taxonomy places the organism in Eukaryota, Metazoa, Chordata, Mammalia, Chiroptera, Vespertilionidae. The record is from Rfam.